CCUACGGGGGGCUGCAGUAGGGAAUCUUCCACAAUGGGCGAAAGCCUGAUGGAGCAACGCCGCGUGGGUGAAGAAGGUCUUCGGAGCGUAAAACCCUUUUGUUAGAGAAGAAAGUGCGCGAGCGUAACUGUUCACGUUUCGACGGUAUCUAACCAGACAGCCACGGCUAACUACGGGCCAGCAGCCGCGGGAAUACGUAGGUGGCAAGCGUUAUUCGGAUUUAUUUGGCGGAAAGGGAACGCAGGCGGUCUUUUAAGUCUGAUGUGAAAGCCUUCGGCUUAACCGGAGUAGUGCAUUGGAAACUGGGGGACUUGAGUGCAGAAGAGGAGAGUGGAACUCCAUGUGUAGCGGUGAAAUGCGUAGAUAUAGGGAAGAACACCAGUGGCGAAGGCGGCGCUCGGGUCUGUAACUGACGCUGAGGUUCGAAAGCGUGGGUAGCAAACAGGAUUAGAUACCCCUGUAGUC
Molecule: ribosomal RNA, 465 nt
Filed under: uncultured bacterium
Lineage: Bacteria
Description: partial 16S ribosomal RNA
Rfam family: Bacterial small subunit ribosomal RNA
Source: RNAcentral